Molecule: unclassified non-coding RNA, 166 nt
Filed under: uncultured fungus
Lineage: Eukaryota; Fungi
Description: sequence contains ITS1
Source: RNAcentral
UGGAGUCGCGGAUCUCCAACUCUCAGGGACGUCGUACGCCUCGCUGAACCGUGAACUACAUGUCUUCGGAGUGACGAACGGCGCGGCCGAAGCACUCCAGCGCCAGAACCUGCAUGUGGCCGCCUCCUUCUUCCGCGUCCGCUUCCUAACUCGUGUCAUUCCUACG